This is a non-coding RNA of Pelobates cultripes (western spadefoot toad), 226 nucleotides long. Lineage: Eukaryota; Metazoa; Chordata; Amphibia; Anura; Pelobatidae. The record is from the annotation of a GenBank genome assembly.
GGCUGUCACUUCUUCCUCCUCUCCUGCCAUCACUUCCUUCCCAGACCCCUGUCAUGGCUGCCUCCAUCAUGAGGCCUACCCCUGUUAUGCACGUCCUAUUCGGAGGCUUGCAGCUUUCCUUAAACUCUACAUAUUAUAGACAGACAAUUGCAUAGACAGAGAAAUUAUAAUGACUAAAGCAAUCAUGUUAUUUUUGGUGGUACAGCUACUAUAACACAAAAAAAAA